GACGAACGCUGGCGGCGUGCUUAACACAUGCAAGUCGAACGGUGAAGCUCCAGCUUGCUGGAGUGGAUCAGUGGCGAACGGGUGAGUAACACGUGAGCAACCUGCCCCAGACUCUGGAAUAAGCGCUGGAAACGGCGUCUAAUACUGGAUACGAGAUCAAGCCGCAUGGUUAUGGUCUGGAAAGUUUUUCGGUUUGGGAUGGGCUCGCGGCCUAUCAGCUUGUUGGUGAGGUAAUGGCUCACCAAGGCGACGACGGGUAGCCGGCCCGAGAGGGCGACCGGCCACACUGGGACUGAGACACGGCCCAGACUCCUACGGGAGGCAGCAGUGGGGAAUAUUGCACAAUGGGCGAAAGCCUGAUGCAGCGACGCCGCGUGAGGGAUGACGGCCUUCGGGUUGUAAACCUCUUUCAGCAGGGAAGAAGCGAAAGUGACGGUACCUGCAGAAGAAGCACCGGCUAACUACGUG
Molecule: ribosomal RNA, 468 nt
Filed under: uncultured bacterium
Lineage: Bacteria
Description: partial 16S ribosomal RNA
Rfam family: Bacterial small subunit ribosomal RNA
Source: RNAcentral